CACCGAGGCUUAGAACAGCUGGGAAACUUGCCCAUGGUCUACACAUGUCAAUUAGUUGCUGGACUGUGAGUUUCAAGAUGCCAAGGACUGUAUCUGUUUUAUCUAAUGUUACACUUAAAAAUUGACUUUAGAUUUAUUUUUUGUGUGUUUUGCUUGUAUGUAUGUAUGUGCACCAUGUGUACACACAAUGCCCACAAGAGGGCAUUGUAUACCCUGGGACUGGAUGGUUAUGAGUCACCAUGUGGGUUCUAGAGGCCAAGCUGAGUGCAUCCUGGGUCCUCUGCAAGAGCAACAAGUACUCUUAACCCCUGAGCUAUCUCUCUCCAGCCUCCUGACAAAGCUCUGUUAUUGAUCAUUUUUGUUAGUGAUUGUUGGGGUUUGGUUUGGUUUUAUUGAGACUCGAAUUCUCUUGGAUUAUGGUAUGUACUGCGAUGCCAGACUUCAUUUGAGCUUUGACGCAGGAAGGAUGAAAGCUGGUAGCGGUCCAUUUAAUCUGCUGUAAUUCUGCCUUCCUCACUGGUUACUCUAAUGACUAAGAUAACUGGCCUAAACGUUGAACAGUUUGUGCCAAGAGGUCAGUCAGCACUCGACAGUCUUACGACUCUGUUACUAUGAUGCAGCUUCCCUAUUCACAUCUUUCGGUGCUGCUGUUUUUUCUCUGUCUCCUCCCAGGCUCAGAAGUACAGCUUGUAGAGUAUGAGGCCUCAGCUGCUGGUCUCAUCCGAUCUUUCUGUGAGCGUUUUCCAGAAGAUGGGCCUGAAUUGGAGGAGGUCCUUACCCAGCUAGCCACAGCAGAUGCCAGAUUCUGGAGGGACCAGGUCAAGGAGGCCCCAGCUGGCCAGGCUUGAGAAGAUUUCGUGAUUCCUUUCCCCACUCCAUAAACCUCACUUUCUGGUUUACCAAGUACUUCCUCAGUUCCUUGGUCUGCGCUGCCAUCUUUGGAGGGAGCUCCACAGGCUGCCUAGUCCAGUUUCCCACAUGGGACAAUGCAGUUCUGAGAAGUGACUGGUCUAAAUCUGGUAGCUGGCAUGUGACAGAGCCAGGGCUCAAAGCGUUCUCACCAAAUCCAAUGCUCUUCGUGUAUUACUUUUAUAACCAGAAAAAUAAAUACCACAAACAACCAUCAUUGCUAUGUGUGAGAUUCUUCCUCCCUGUGUUCAGAGCCUGGGGAGGGCACAGUACCGCACUUCUGGCUUCCAGUCCACAACAGGAUUUUGCUAUCGUCUCUAAAGGAAAGCACAGAGGCAUAGUAUGAGUUCUGCAGCUCUCCUUUGUGACAUAUUUUUUUUAAAGAUUUUAUUUAUUUAUU
Molecule: long non-coding RNA, 1309 nt
Filed under: Cricetulus griseus (Chinese hamster)
Lineage: Eukaryota; Metazoa; Chordata; Mammalia; Rodentia; Cricetidae
Description: lncRNA (ENSCGRG00000024510.1)
Source: RNAcentral